Long non-coding RNA from Homo sapiens (human), 773 nucleotides. Ensembl annotates it as DHCR24 divergent transcript. Its record names the gene DHCR24-DT. Lineage: Eukaryota; Metazoa; Chordata; Mammalia; Primates; Hominidae. The record is from Ensembl.
ACCCUUUUCUCCCCGCCGCCGCGCGAGGCGGGGGUGCCAGGGACUGGGUGCCGGUGGGGUCCGCUGCGAAUACUGGGGGUGGGCAGUUGGGACUCAGGGCCCCAGGCCCUCGGGGCUGCGGGGCCGCCUCUUCCAAACGCGCCUUAAGCGGUUUUGCAGUGGCUUUCCGCCGGAGGGCUGGGAGGCGCCCCGGCCCUGAGUCAGUCACCCUUUGGCCGGACAGGCGGUUCCCGGGCGCGGAGGAUGGAAACCUGGCGGUAACCUCUGCAGGUCGUGCCACUCGGUGUGCGCAAGGUCUCCAGAGGCAUCUUUUCAUUUUUAGGGGGCACUUUCCACGAAUUCAUUUGAGCUACACAGCAGUCCUGGGCAGUGGGGAGUGGUGAGCUCCAUUGUGUACACUUGGAAGCAGCCCAGAAAGCUUCUAGCACGGUGCUUUGUGCACAGUAAACACUCCAGCGGCUGUUGACCAAUGAAUGAAUGAAGAUUGUAGGCUCAAAUAUUCAAGUUAUCAAAGUGCAAAGAAUGAGAGGUUGUUUGCACUGGACUUCAAAAAUAAAUAGCCUGGACCUGUACUGUCUUACACAACAGCUAUGAGCUACUGGUAUGUGGCUAGUCCAAACUGAAAUGCCCUUUAAGAGUAAAACACACACUGGAUUUCAAAGACUUAGUACAAAGAAAAAAUGCAAAAUAGCUCAUUAGUAAUUUUUAUGUUAAUGACAUGUUGAAAUAACAUUUUGAUAUAUUAAGUAAAAUAUAGUAUUAGAAUUAAUUUC